AUGUGGGAUCUUCCCGGACCGGGGCGCGAACCCGCGUCCCCUGCAUCGGCAGGCGGAUUCUCAACCACUGCGCCACCAGGGAAGCCCCCCCAGGGUUUGUCUGCCGUUUCAAUUAUCAAUCUUGGGCCUAUGACAGCUGGCACGUAGGUGGUAUCUGUUUAUUGGGAUCAAAGUGCUAACUUGAAACUGGGAACAAGGGAAUGUUUUCAAGUGAGCACUAAACAGUUGCAUUCCUGAAGCUUUUGUUAGCCCUAUGCUUUUUUUUUUUAAAUUUGAGUAUAGUUGAUUCAUUGAAUACAGUGCUCUGUUAGCCCUAUGCCUCUUAUCGGCAGGAAAUAGCCACAUCAGUCAUUGCCCCCUCUUCCCUCGAGAUUGAGGAAUAAUAAAAAAUGGGGUGGUGGUGGUAAAACUGGGUAAUUAUCAGUCACAUCCAUUUCAUCUGCCUUCACUAAUCAAGGUCAUCCAUUUUGAGACUUGCAUGUCCUCCAAGCAGCAUGUAGCCUAAACAAUGUUUGUCCCAGGUGUUUUCUAGGAGCUUGGAGUCAGCUGUGUCUAGUUUGAGCUGAUCUGGUUAAGACUGGAUAGGACCACUGACCCUCCAACUGGGCCUGCCCACGUGUCCACUUGGUGACCUUUUGACAUCGAAGGGGCUUCUGUACUGGACUGGUCGAUAGAAAGGACUGCCGACCUCAAACAACACCCACAUGAGAAAAAGACAACAGCAGUGGUAGACAGCUGACCCAAGAAUCUGGACCAGGUCUGUUAAGAUCCAUCCUAAUUCAAUGGAACUGUUCACCAAAUGUGUUUCCCUAUCAAAAUGGAAAGUUUUUAUUUCUAAUAUACUUCUGACUCCAAUGUUCAGGAUAGAAAGGAAAUUCUCCAGUGAAGCUGAAUAACUACUCACGAUGUGUAUCACUGCUUGCUACUGAAAGAUCUGCAAACAAAAAAGGGAAAAUGAUGGAGGAAACUUUCACGUAUUGAGAAAUACGAAGAGUCAUUCAACCUAAGGUACUGAUAACCCCCUAAGUACCAUCAGAAACCAUUGGAGGACCUUUUCUUCCUGAACAUCAUCUUCUGACAUCUAGUAAAGCUUCCUGGGAAAGAAAAAUUCCUGUGACUUGAACUGCGGAAAGACAGAAGUUAUCACAGCUGUCACAUGGCUCAGGGUGGAGCCAGG
Molecule: long non-coding RNA, 1177 nt
Organism: Physeter macrocephalus (sperm whale)
Lineage: Eukaryota; Metazoa; Chordata; Mammalia; Artiodactyla; Physeteridae
Exons: 4
Source: RefSeq, a predicted model, not a curated record